Molecule: long non-coding RNA, 1501 nt
Organism: Mesocricetus auratus (golden hamster)
Lineage: Eukaryota; Metazoa; Chordata; Mammalia; Rodentia; Cricetidae
Exons: 2
Source: RefSeq, a predicted model, not a curated record
AGCUGAUGACCGAGCCAUCUUUGCGUCCUCUGAGGCAGUAGCUAGGAGCCUUGUUUUGUGAUAUGUGGUGACCCAAGGCUCUUCACAGGGACAUUCUCAAAGAGUAGUGCAGCUUUUUUUUUUUUAAUCCAAGAUUAUGGGGUAAUUUAGAGGCGCAGGAUUAGAACAGGAUUUAAAUCACACUGGGAGCCAUGGUGUACCUUUGCUAUCGAUAAAAAGAUGGGCAGUCUGUACAUGUUGGAGAGCACCUGCAAGGUUCUAUGCCAGAGGACCAGCCUUGAGGGAGCUGCAUUUGAACCCAGGUCAACUGGUGGCCUGGCCUGGCCUUGCCACAGGACUGACAACGGGCACCCACAACCUCUGAGGGCUAAAAUGUGCACUGGGAUCCCUGGCUGCGAGCUUUGUCCUCUGCUGGCUGGGGACAUCAAGCACCACAUUUGGCCUCUCUGUACUUGACCGCCUUCCCCACGGACGAGUCCAUCUGGUCAACCAGUGCAAGCAGACGCUUGCUGUAGACCCCAAGUCAGGGGAGUAGCAUGUUACUAGGAACAGAAUGUUGAGUGAUCCCUGGUGGGGUGGCACAUGUCUGUUACCCCGACACUUGGGAGAUGGAGGCAGGAAGGUCAGGAGUUCAAGAGUAUCCUCAACUAUGUAAGAAGUUUGCGGCUAGCCUGGGCUAUGUAAGACCCUGUCUCAAACUCCUCAACCCUCAGAAGGAAGCAGAGGCAGACUGGUGCGUUCAUUCAGACGGCGAUGGGAGCCCCUGAGGAAAAUAAGCCUGAGAAGCAGUAGAAGGUGCCCGAGGAGGCGCCUCAGGAGCAGGCCAGCAGGGACACCAAGAGAAACACUGACCGCCAAGGCACCCCAGAGAAAGAAAGCGCUUGCCUGCCAAAGACCAGUGACCUUCCCACAGCAGUACAGCUCUCGUAGCCUGAAACCAAAGCCAAGGAACAACCCAACGCCUUCAGUCAUCGAGCAGAUGUCCAACUGUGGUCCAUCGAUGGGCAGGAUGAUAGCAAAAUUGCAGCUGAGCUUCGGAUCUGAACACGCGACACGAGAGGCCGCUCUCUGUGUAAGUCCUCUGAUACAAAAUUGAAGGGCAGUCACCAGGGAGAUCCCAGUCACCUUGGAAGUUCCUUCUGCAGGCAGGAGAUCUACUGCCUGGAUGGGCAUGGAGGCCUCGUGGACGGUUGAGAAGUGUCUGGAUUUUAUCCAGAAGGUGGUCCUCCGGAUACAUCAGAACCCACCUGUAGAAUUGUACAUGAUGGACUAGGGCUCAGUUGGUAGAGCACUGGCCUACUGUGCAGAGGCCUUGGAUUCAAUUCCCUGUGCAAAAACGGAGCAUGGCGGUUUACACCUGUCAGUGGAGAUGGAAGCAGGACAACCAGGGGUUAAAGGUCAUCCUUGCCAACAUGGUGAGUUUGGGGCCAGCCUGAGCUUUACGAGACUCUACUUUGGAAAACAAAAGGCAAAAUAGAACAACAACACUAAAAGAAACGUA